CCUACGGGCUGCAGCAGUGGGGAAUAUUGGGCAAUGGGCGCAAGCCUGACCCAGCAACGCCGCGUGAAGGAAGAAGGCCCUCGGGUUGUAAACUUCUUUUGUCAGGGACGAAGAAAGUGACGGUACCUGACGAAUAAGCCACGGCUAACUACGUGCCAGUAGCCGCGGUAAUACGUAGGUGGCAAGCGUUAUCCGGAUUUACUGGGUGUAAAGGGCGUGUAGGCGGGAUUGCAAGUCAGAUGUGAAAUUCCAGGGCUCAACCCUGGACCUGCAUUUGAAACUGUAGUUCUUGAGUGAUGGAGAGGCAGGCGGAAUUCCGUGUGUAGCGGUGAAAUGCGGAGAUAUACGGAGGAACACCAGUGGCGAAGGCGGCCUGCUGGACAGUAACUGACGCUGAGGCGCGAAAGCGUGGGGAGCAAACAGGAUUAGAUACCCCGGUAGUC
Molecule: ribosomal RNA, 443 nt
Filed under: uncultured bacterium
Lineage: Bacteria
Description: partial 16S ribosomal RNA
Rfam family: Bacterial small subunit ribosomal RNA
Source: RNAcentral